Molecule: ribosomal RNA, 272 nt
Filed under: uncultured Staphylococcus sp.
Lineage: Bacteria; Bacillati; Bacillota; Bacilli; Caryophanales; Staphylococcaceae
Description: partial 16S ribosomal RNA
Rfam family: Bacterial small subunit ribosomal RNA
Source: RNAcentral
CGUUAGCGGCGGACGGGUGAGUAACACGUGGGUAACCUACCUAUAAGACUGGGAUAACUUCGGGAAACCGGAGCUAAUACCGGAUAAUAUUUAGAACCGCAUGGUUCGAUAGUGAAAGAUGGUUUUGCUAUCACUUAUAGAUGGACCUGCGCCGUAUUAGCUAGUUGGUAAGGUAACGGCUUACCAAGGCGACGAUACGUAGCCGACCUGAGAGGGUGAUCGGCCACACUGGAACUGAGACACGGUCCAGACUCCUACGGGAGGCAGCAGGC